Molecule: transfer RNA, 69 nt
Filed under: Ictidomys tridecemlineatus (thirteen-lined ground squirrel)
Lineage: Eukaryota; Metazoa; Chordata; Mammalia; Rodentia; Sciuridae
Description: Spermophilus tridecemlineatus (thirteen-lined ground squirrel) tRNA
Rfam family: tRNA
About the family: Transfer RNA (tRNA) molecules are approximately 80 nucleotides in length. Their secondary structure includes four short double-helical elements and three loops (D, anti-codon, and T loops). Further hydrogen bonds mediate the characteristic L-shaped molecular structure. tRNAs have two regions of fundamental functional importance: the anti-codon, which is responsible for specific mRNA codon recognition, and the 3' end, to which the tRNAs corresponding amino acid is attached (by aminoacyl-tRNA synthetases). tRNAs cope with the degeneracy of the genetic code in two manners: having more than one tRNA (with a specific anti-codon) for a particular amino acid; and 'wobble' base-pairing, i.e. permitting non-standard base-pairing at the 3rd anti-codon position.
Source: Rfam by way of RNAcentral
GGGGUUGUGGCUCAGUGGUAGAGCGCUUGCCUAGCAAGUGUGAGGCCCUGGGUUCAAUUCUCAGUACCA